UCUUGAGAGCGGCGGACGGGUGAGUAAUGCCUAGGAAUCUGCCUGGUAGUGGGGGAUAACGUUCGGAAACGGACGCUAAUACCGCAUACGUCCUACGGGAGAAAGCAGGGGACCUUCGGGCCUUGCGCUAUCAGAUGAGCCUAGGUCGGAUUAGCUAGUUGGUGAGGUAAUGGCUCACCAAGGCGACGAUCCGUAACUGGUCUGAGAGGAUGAUCAGUCACACUGGAACUGAGACACGGUCCAGACUCCUACGGGAGGCAGCAGUGGGGAAUAUUGGACAAUGGGCGAAAGCCUGAUCCAGCCAUGCCGCGUGUGUGAAGAAGGUCUUCGGAUUGUAAAGCACUUUAAGUUGGGAGGAAGGGCAGUUACCUAAUACGUGAUUGUUUUGACGUUACCGACAGAAUAAGCACCGGCUAACUCUGUGCCAGCAGCCGCGGUAAUACAGAGGGUGCAAGCGUUAAUCGGAAUUACUGGGCGUAAAGCGCGCGUAGGUGGUUUGUUAAGUUGGAUGUGAAAUCCCCGG
This 523-nucleotide ribosomal RNA is filed under the name uncultured Pseudomonas sp. Its description in RNAcentral is "bacterial SSU rRNA". It matches the Rfam family "Bacterial small subunit ribosomal RNA", at positions 87 to 606 of the family's 1533-position model. Lineage: Bacteria; Pseudomonadati; Pseudomonadota; Gammaproteobacteria; Pseudomonadales; Pseudomonadaceae. The record is from RNAcentral.